RNAcentral lists this ribosomal RNA (490 nucleotides) under uncultured bacterium. RNAcentral's name for it is "partial 16S ribosomal RNA". It matches the Rfam family "Bacterial small subunit ribosomal RNA", at positions 30 to 507 of the family's 1533-position model. The record is from RNAcentral.
AUUGAACGCUGGCGGCAGGCCUAACACAUGCAAGUCGAACGGUAACAGGAAGCAGCUUGCUGCUUUGCUGACGAGUGGCGGACGGGUGAGUAAUGUCUGGGAAACUGCCUGAUGGAGGGGGAUAACUACUGGAAACGGUAGCUAAUACCGCAUAACGUCGCAAGACCAAAGAGGGGGACCUUCGGGCCUCUUGCCAUCGGGUAUGCCCAGAUGGGAUUAGCUAGUAGGUGGGGUAACGGCUCACCUAGGCGACGAUCCCUAGCUGGUGUGAGAGGGUGACCAGCCACACUGGAACUGAGACACGGUCCAGACUCCUACGGGAGGCAGCAGUGGGGAAUAUUGCACGAAGGGCGCAAGCCUGAUGCAGCCAUGCCGCGUGUAUGAAGAAGGCCUUCGGGUUGUAAAGUACUUUCAGCGGGGAGGAAGGGAGUAAAGUUAAUACCUUGGCUCAUUGACGUUACCCGCAGAAGAAGCACCGGCUAACUCCGUG